This is a long non-coding RNA of Pseudopipra pipra, 7133 nucleotides long. RefSeq lists it as uncharacterized. NCBI's taxonomy places the organism in Eukaryota, Metazoa, Chordata, Aves, Passeriformes, Pipridae. The record is from RefSeq and is a predicted model, not a curated record. The transcript is spliced from 3 exons.
GGAGCAGACACCUUCCAGACCCUUAACUUUCACACACUGCUCUCCCGUUAUUUGCCUCCUUCCCUCCCCCCCCGUCGCCCCUUUCCCUCCUCUCCCUCCUCCUCCUUCUCCUUUUCCAGUUCAGCGGCGCAAAUUUCUGUUUGUGCCAGUGGGGCGGCCUGGCGAGACCGCAAUUGCUCUACCCCACAGAUUGACGAGCCCUCAGAUGCCGAUUUACUGUACAUGGCAGCCACGCUGGAGCCGCGGCACAUCUGGAGUGGAGUAAGCUUACUCAGAAACAGGGGCCAGCUCCAGCCGGAGCCAACGGAGCUGAGCGCGGCGCUGAAAGGCAGCCCUCCUGCCUCCCCUUCCCGCCUCCCCGGUGCAAGAGCUGCAAGAGCGAGUCCUGCCUGGUUGAGACAAACCGGACAUUCAUUCCUGCUGGCCUGCCCAAGGGAGGAUACCUUUUGGCUCACCUGACAAAUCUGCUACUAACACAUCCUGAGAAGUCAAGUGUUGUGUUUCAGGUGCAAUAAAAACAUGGCUCCUUCGUGGUGUGAGGAACUGCUCAUGGUGACAUUAAAUUUCUCUCAGAGUGCAUCUCAAGAGAUCCCUGUACUUGCACUAGGUGUGGCCCUGGCAGCCACAGUCAGAGCUGCUGCUGGGGCAGCAGGACGCGAGCCAGUGUGGCAUAUUGUGCAGUAUAGCCCACAUCUUUUCAUUUCCUCAAUUUUCUUCACGCACCAGUCCUAGUAUGCCUUGCUUGUGAGGUACAUUAAAGGUUUAUCUGCCCUGUAAUUCGACCAUAAAAAGCUGCAGCUCAAAAUGCCCAAGAUAAUUUCUUCCAUGAUGUUGGACUCACCUCUGGUGUCUACCUCUGGGCAGCCUUUUGCCCAUUGGUCUCACCAGAGUGAGUGGUUUGCCUCAGCUAUUGUGUGCUGGCGACAAUACAAGCAUGGCCCAAGUAAGACUAAGACAACUGAUAAUGCUUUAAUGCAUAAUACCAGCAGAUCAGAAAUGAUCAACUUCAAGAUGAGGGCUGUUUGAUUUUCAUGGCUCCUAAGGAGUGGUAUGUUAUGAAGUGGUGGUUGUGGUUUGAUGGGGGAACUGUUCUGAAUGCUACGGGAAGCACACGGGGUCCACUCUGCUUGUGUCAUGCUGUAUAACAGUUUCUCCAUUAUCUGAUGCUGAUUUUCCCUCAAAUGGUGAGCUAUCUUCAUUGGAUACACACAUAGUAUUUGUGGACUAAUUCUAUGGUGUUUGAAAGUCUUUCGAAAAGUGCUUAAAAAGACUUUUCCUCUCCAAGGGAGUUCAGUGGUUCAGACUCGUUAAUCUGAAUAAAAUAUUGCUAUCAUAAUUAGUGCUAAUUGGCAGCUUUGUUUGCAGCCUCAUCAGAGUCAGUGAUUAGCUAAACAGAGGUUAUAAAUGCAUGUCUUUACUACACAUAAAUAAAGGGCUUUAAGGUCAACUACUGCUAAACCAGCACUUUUCAGAGCACUGUGUUCAUGUACUGCCUCCUUCCCUUACCAGAAAUUUGUGUUUCACAACCACUGGUUACUUUUCUCAGAUUUGCAGUAAGCAUUGAGUUAUUACGUUAAUGUCUGGUAUGGCUGUUUCUAUGCUGACCCACUAAGGAACACAUUUUGUUUUGACAUGGCCUUGGAAACUUAAAGGAGUACAAAAUGCACAACAUGUAGGCAUGUAAAAAUAAAUACAGGGAACCCACCAGACAUGAAUAGCAAGGAGGCUACAAGCAAUUCAGCCAUAGGGCUAAGAAACAAAUGGUUUCUUUAUGUGGCUCUGGCUGUUCGGUAGCUGUACUUCAGAGCAAUGUAAUGGGUUUUAAUGUUCAUAAAAAUGUUCAAUCUGGUAAACCAAUUUUUAGACUCUUACACAGUCUUGUUGAAAUUGGAUUCAUUUGAACUGCAAUAUAAAAUAUUAUGUUUACUUAACCCUUGUAAACUGAUCUCCUUUGUCUUCACAAACUUGCUGGGCAGUUAAGGACCUAACAUUCCUUCCGCAGUUAAUAAAAUUUUGCAUUUUUCUCUCUAUUCAUAAAUUUAAUUACAGUCAGACCUGAUUAAUCAACAUCAAACUUUUUUAAUACUCAUUCUUUUAGGUAGCUUUGGAUUGAAAAAUACAUAUGAAGGUCAUACACUGAGACUUUGUAUAUUAUUCAUGUUCCAAAAGUCUGCUUGGAUUUUUUUCUGUGUGCAGCCCUGCAGAUAGUGCAACUUACAUCAGCUGAGGGCUGAUUACACCUAUCAUGCAGAUAGGUAUAAUAUCUGCAUGAUAGGUAUAGAUAUUAUCUGCAUAAUAGAUAAAUAAUGUCAGAGCUUUGCUCUUUAUAAAAGAUGAUAAUCUCUUUCUGUCCUCAUUUUUGAAUAAAAGUCCUAGUGAUGUGAAUGGCAGUUAACAUUCAAAGCUGUUUCUCUGUUCUUCUCUCUACCCAUUUCCUGAAUUUUCAUCUGUCUUGCGCCAGGGUCCCUGGAGAUAUUUCAUACAGGCAUUUCUAUGUUACUUCCAAAUGGGCAAGAAUAAACUGCAUUCCAUAUGGCCAUUAGGUAGCCUUUUUGCUACAUGUAUAUUGCAUUUCCCAAGGCACUCAGGAUUUACAAAAAUCCUUGAAUGGUACAGUUGAUGUUGAUCAAAGAGCCCGUGAUUCAAGAAUUUAUGAAGAAAGAUUUUGAGGUUUUCUGUCUGAAAUUUUGCAGGGAAUACAGUGGCUGGAGUAGUGUUUAAAAAUCCUAAAGAUUUUACUGGAGUUAGCUGGUCAGUAGGAGUGAAAUCCCUUUACAGCCUUAAAAGACGAUAUAACUUGGUGUGGACUUUUGUUAAUUUAACAAUGAAUGCCUUGCACUUGGUUUGCUGUGCAUGGAUUGUUGAGCUCCUGGGGACCAUCUCACCCCACUUUCAGUGUGGAAUAUUAAACAAAGUACAAGAUUAGAAUUUUAACUAAAAGUGAAUAGUGAAAGGACAUAACAUGCUGCAAGUUUGGCUUUCACCUCAGAGCUGAUUAAUGACCACAGAAGAUAAAUGGAAAAGGUCAAACCUAUCAAUUUUAAAACACAGAGCAAUUACAGAGCUGCCAUUUCUUAAGUUCAAGCUUCCUGCUACUAUAAGUCCUGCUUGCAGUGGCUUAUGCUGAAUGGUCAGUAAGGCUUAUGAGAGCACUUUGCAUAAAGCUGAAUUUUAUCAGGGCUACUUUUCAGCUGUGAAUCAGAUACACUUUUGUGUGUAAGCUCAAUAUUCUGAUACUACUAGGAUAGAUGUGAAGCUGUGCAGGAUUUAAGCAAAGCACCUACCAUAAUGAGGAAAGAAAAUAUGAGAUCCUUUUAUUUGUAAGCCCCUACGUUUGUAAUUUACAGAAGAUAGCUUCAUCUCUUGGGAACCAUCUGUAUUUCAUUGGGGUGCUCUUUUCUACCCAGGUUUAUGACAUGACUAAUCGAAGCACUGGGAGAUCAAGUGCCUCACUCAAGGUCACAGAUCAUUUUGGUAGCUCUGUCUCAAGCCUAGAGUUCAGCAUGACUGACUUUGUGAUAACACAGCCCCUGUGAACUCCGAAACUAAAGGCAAUACAAAUAACUGUGUAUGGCAUAAUCAGUAAAAGACUUUGUUGUUGUUGUCGUUGUUGUUCAACAUUCCCUUUUAAAAAAAUAUGUGGAGAGAGAGUACAUGAAGAGUGACUAGGAAGGGAGUAAGUGAAAGAAAACAGUGUGUUCUGUGCUCAUAAAACAGUAACAAGGACUUGUACAAACUGUAUUCAUGCCUAGAGCUUGAAUGUUUCAAAGUUGUUUCUACAGAGUGCCUUGUAAUCACUAUCCUCAGCAUCCUGUUUAAGAGAAGCUAUUAACUGCUUGCAGUACUUUCCUUCUAUUUUUCAGUAAGAUAAUAUGAGGCAAAGGCCAAGAGCUAAUGUCAGGUUCUGUCCAAAGCACUUUUUUUUUUUUUUUUUAAGAAGAGGUCUGUUAGUCGAUAUUUUUGAAGUGGCAGAAAGGAAGCACCGGGGCAGUGUCCUUCCUGGCUCCGCACAGCUUCCUGCGCGCUUCCCUGCCGAAGUGUUAGUCAGAACGCUGCAACAAUUCAUGCUCAGCCUCCCACGCCAUCGUCUGCCUGGCUUUGAUUUUCUGAACUUGUACAAUAGACUGAUGGGUCUGUUCUCUGACUUAGCGAUGAGUGUACAGGUGGCAGAGCAAAGAGCCAGCAGAAAUAUCUUUGUGAUUCAGAGAUUGUGAAUGAUCUCUGUGUGUGCGUCUCUGAAUACACCUGCCUUUUAAUGCUAUAGUAGACACGGUUGCGUAAUGUACCCAGAUUAAAGUCUACAGGGCUCUUGGAUAAACCCGUUGUGGUUAAAAAAAAAAUUAAAAAUUAGAGUUGACUGCUGACUAAAAUGCUUUCACGCGCACUUUUCUCAUAUCCCUGGUGAUGAACUCUCUCCAGACUUCUUCCCACCUGUUUAUGGCUUGGCUCUCUGGAUCAGGUGCUGUUCCCAUUGGCACCAGUGCAAAUCCAGUUACCUGAUGUAAACUAGAACCAGUUGGGCAGCUCAGGCUUCACAUCGUUGUAGUCAUUGUGGAGCCACAAUUUGUGAAUGGAGUGAUGUCUAGCACCAUAAGUUCCCGCAAAUGGUGAAGGAGUCACUGAUUUUGCCUGUAGCAACAGCUGCUGAGAAAGGGAAGAGAAAAACCUCUGCAAGAGCAGGAGGAGAUAACAAAGGCAGUGUGCAGUCAAGAGUCAGUCAAAGAAUCAUGAUUAUCUUUGACUAUAUGUUCACUGAAAGAAACAAGCUUUUUGUUUUUCUGCCUCUUGUGGGUGUGCCUUUUAUCACAUGUCCUUUUUUAAAAAAUAUAACCAGCCUUUUUCUUCUCCCCUUUCUAUUCUAAUGGUAUAGCUAUUAGUGGCUUCAUCUUAAGAACUAGUGUAGUAAUGCAGUCCAAUCUUCAUUCUCUCUCAACCUUUUUUAAGUCCUUAUGCUAAUUUUGUGUUAAGCCCAAACUGUCUCCUCAAAGAGAGCCCCACUGUUCUGACUUCAGUUGUCUCUGUGGUGAGAAACUUGUUUUUACCUUCCCAUAGCUGAAUGCAUCAAGGAAGGCUAAUACAGAGCCUCUCAAGAAACCAGUAGGCUUUUACUUUUCUUUAAGAGGACAGAGGAUAACAAGAGUUUGGGAAAGUUAUACCCAGCAGUAAUAGCACUAAUCCUUGGCACAUUUAUAUCUGCUGUUGUGAAGGAUCAUGCUGCUCUGCACCGUUGGGAGAGAGUGCAGGCAAAUGUUUAGUGAGAAACUAGAUAUUGAAGCACGAGAUAUGAAAUGUUAUGAGGACAAAAGGAUUCUGCUGUUGUCAGAAGCACCUGGUUCCUCGGAUCAGCCAGGGUCAACGAAGCCACCUCUGUUAUCCUGCCACAUAGAUAUGAAAUAUAGAAUAGAAAGACAUAGCAAUUCCUACGAGAUGAGAGUUAUUAGAACCUUCUCCAUUACACUGUUAUUAGCUUGCCUUGCUGUUAACAAGUCAGGCUCUACUAAUGCAUUUCAAUAGGAAUGGCUUUGUAACCAAGUUCUGCAUUAUUAAAAUAUUUGCUGUGCAGCUGUUUAACCAGAUUUGUUGCUGCUUUUUGUUGUUAUUGUUGUUGCUGUAGUUCAGUUCCUUAUUUUCAUGUCAGUUUUGAUACAACCAGAAAACUGCCCACAUUGUUUUUGUACUUGGAGCAGUUUAUUGUGUGUUUAGUGUAUUUCCAAUGCAAUCUAAAUGUUUGUGUUAUUAUAGUAGCUCUGACAUGUUCACAAAUAAUAUUAUCUGGGAUUUGAUGAGUAACAACUGUUGAUGGAACGCAAACUUGACCUGCAUUAAAAAAAAGUUUCCUCCAGCCAUCUUGGACACUAAAGCCUGUCUGGUACAUCAACUUACUUUUGUACUCAGGAGCUGCUUUAGGUAGAUUUACAGUAAGCCAUGGAAUGGAAUCUCAAUGAAGUGAGUGCCCACUCUGGGCCUAAACUUUUACAUUUUGUCCCUCAGAUUUUUAGCAGGAGACCUUGCCCACUCUAUAUCUGCUUCAUCUAUGAAAAUGCUUUGCUUUUUUGCACAAUAUUGGAGACAUAUGAAUCUGACAAAUUACAUUUGCUGUUAGUUUAGAAGAAAUCUGUGAAUAUUGUAAAUGAAAAUGUGUGGGUCUGUUUUACUGCUUUAUUCAUGAUUGUGUUAUGUACCUUUACACAGUGGAUGGUAACUAUCAAGAAAUCAAAACUGUAUUUUUUAUUGUUAUUUAUGUUCGCUUUUCAUUAUUUCAAGAUAAAAUUCUUCUAGUACCCCAAGAUGCUGAUGGCAUAUGUAACAUUAAAAGUCUACAUUUGUCUUUUAUAUUACUAUUUCAUAAUCCUAAAGAUGUUAACACAAGGUUUCUUGGAAUAUUUAUUAAAAAAAUAACCACUCUGCAGUACAUACGUGACUGUGUUUUGUGGUGCUAAAGAAUUUCUCUGUAUCCUAUUGAGGAAAAAUGGUAGAAAAAUAAAACUAGGAGAGAAUUCACCUGCUUCAGCUCUCUGACCAAAGGCUUCUCAUCUCAAGUAUUCCUGACAGCUGCCUGUGGAAGUCUUUGAACUGUUUGGUACUGUACCAUAGGACUUCCUGAUUUUUUUCAAUUUGCGUUGGUUUGGAGGCAUCCCUGUUACUUUAAGUUAAGCUGUGCUCUGCUUGAGAAGGCCCUGGUGCAGGGGCUUGUUCCCAAGAUUUCUCAUUGUUGCAAACUGUGACUCAGCUGUGCUGUAGCUGCCAUAAGCUGCUGUCUGCCCUUGCUGCUUUAAGCACUGUAAUGGUUAAAACUUCUUCAAGGCAGUCUGAGGUUUAGUGGCAGGACCUGAUAGUUUGUGACGACACACAAGUGUCAGUUCGAGAGGAGCUGUUCUGAGGUCGGCUGUGUUAAGAAGGUCACUCAGAUGUAAAGUGAACAUAGCACCUACCUACAGCUACCUACAGAAUAAUAGGUAUUUCGGGCUUUUUCUUUCAAUCUACUCUUUACUUUGCUGUUGCAAGACAGUAAAACCUUGCUUUUUGUUCUUUGGUGUUUAUAGGUUGCUGCAAAGACGUAAUGGUAAUAUUUUUUACAAAAGGUAACAGUUGUCAUGCUUGUAAAUCAGAAUAAUAAAUCAUGAAGUUUCUUA